AAGUCUGCACCAUUCGACUGAUCAAACGAUUCGGCUGAUGAGAGAUCGGAUCAGCCGAGUUUGAAACUUUAUACUACAGAAUCGGUUCGGUUGAAUAAGCCGAAUAGGAUAUUGCAGUGUUUUAGGUCGGCUGAUGAGCUGGAUGGCCUUUAUAUAUUGAAACUUAAAGUCGGAAACUCGUACAAAAGAGAGUGUGCUUGUAAGUCAUACAGACUCCAUAAAUCUAACUUAAAUACUACUCCUACAAAAGGCACUAAAUGUAGAAAAAGAAAGAUUACAGAUAGACUACUCCUAGGAAAACAAGAAAAAUGCGUGGAAAUAGAAAGUGGCCUUCUGUUCGCUGGAAAGAGGACCCCUCCUCCAGGCGUUAUUCGCCUAUUUAUACUCCGCGCAUUGUGAUUUGGUUAUGUACACAAUCGGUCAUUUCUCUAAUUUCGCGGGCUACUACAAGUCGAUAUUAAACACUCAAACUGAUUGUGGUUAUGCUGUGAUUUACUUUGUGGUCCCGAUGCACCACGUGUCAGAUUUUAGAAUCCUUGGCAAGCCGAGCGUCAAUUUUCCACGCGAUAUUUUUAUUGGAAUCAACAAUUGCCCUCUCGACAACUUCCGAACAGACGAUUUGGUGGUUGACGUAAUCUCUUUCAAAGGCGCGAAUUUCGAAACCAUUAUUUUGAAUUGCCUUGUACCGUCUUUCUCUCAGCCGUCCUUUCUCCUUUGACAGCUACGAUUUCACAUACAUUCCUUUUGUUUCUUAUGCGGCAUUUAUUAGGUCAUUUAUUGCCGUCGUCUCAUCAUCAUUAAAGCUGUUUUCGAAAUUCCAUCCGACGGUCCUAUUCUUUUGUCUUUUUUGUUUUCUUCUUCCUUACGCUUCCCCUUUUCUUUCUUCUCCCUUCGCUUUUCUUUCUUCUUCCUCUUCGCCUUAGAAGCCCUUUCUCUCUUCUUCUUCUACUUCUUCUUUCGCCUUCUCUAAUGGUUCCACUUCCUUCUCUUUCUUCUUCUCCAUCUUUCGAUUACACUUUACUUAGACAAUAUGUUGGGUCGGAC
RNAcentral lists this long non-coding RNA (1044 nucleotides) under Ananas comosus (pineapple). RNAcentral's name for it is "long non-coding RNA (ACOM_LNC020140)". Lineage: Eukaryota; Viridiplantae; Streptophyta; Magnoliopsida; Poales; Bromeliaceae. The record is from RNAcentral.